GACGAACGCUUGCGGCGUGCUUAACACAUGCCAGUCGAACGAAGUGGCGAACGGGUGAGUAACGCGUAAUCAACCUGCCCUUCAGAGGGGGACAACAGUUGGAAACGACUGCUAAUACCGCAUACUGAAGGAGGGGAUUGCGUCUGAUUAGCUAGUUGGAGGGGUAAAGGCCCACCAAGACGAUGAUCAGUAGCCGGUAUGAGAGGAUGAGCGGCCACAGUGGGACUGAGACACGGCCCAGACUCCUACGGGAGGCAGCAGAGGGGAAGCUUACGAAAUGGACGAAAGUCUGACGGAGCAACGCCGCGUGAGUGAGGACGGCCUUCGGGUGGUAAAGCUCUGUUAAUCGGGACGCGGUACCGGAAUAGAAAGCCACGGCUAACUACGUGCCAGCAGCCGCGGUAAUUC
RNAcentral lists this ribosomal RNA (408 nucleotides) under uncultured bacterium. RNAcentral's name for it is "partial 16S ribosomal RNA". It matches the Rfam family "Bacterial small subunit ribosomal RNA", at positions 28 to 526 of the family's 1533-position model. The record is from RNAcentral.